RNAcentral lists this ribosomal RNA (503 nucleotides) under uncultured bacterium. RNAcentral describes it as "partial 16S ribosomal RNA". It matches the Rfam family "Bacterial small subunit ribosomal RNA", at positions 899 to 1397 of the family's 1533-position model. The record is from RNAcentral.
ACUCAAAUGAAUAGACGGGGGCCCGCACAAGCGGUGGAGCAUGUGGUUCAAUUCGAUGCAGAGCGAAGAACCUUACCUGGGCUUGACAUGCAGGAAGUAGAAACCCGAAAGGGCAACGACCCGUUGAAUCGGGAACCUGCACAGGUGGUGCAUGGCUGUCGUCAGCUCGUGCCGUGAGGUGUUGGGUUAAGUCCCGCAACGAGCGCAACCCUCACCCUAUGUUGCCAACGGUUCGGCCGGGCACUCUUAGGGAACUGCCGGCGAAGAGCUGGAGGAAGGGGGGGAUGACGUCAAGUCCGUAUGCCCCUUAUGUCCAGGGCUACACACAUGCUACAAUGCGCGCUACAGAGGGUCGCCAACCCGCGAGGGGGAGCCAAUCCCAUAAAGGCGCGCUCAGUUCGGAUUGCAGGCUGCAACUCGCCUGCAUGAAGUCGGAAUCGCUAGUAAGCGCAGAUCAGCAGGCUGCGCUGAAUACGUUCCCGGGCCUUGUACACACCGCCCGU